Molecule: ribosomal RNA, 254 nt
Filed under: uncultured bacterium
Lineage: Bacteria
Description: partial 16S ribosomal RNA
Rfam family: Bacterial small subunit ribosomal RNA
Source: RNAcentral
CACGUAGGGACCAAGCGUUGUCCGGAUUUAUGGGGCGUAAAGAGCUCGUAGGCGGUUCGGUAAGUCGGGUGUGAAAACUCUGGGCUCAACUCGGAGAGGCCACCCGAUACUGCCGUGACUCGAGUCCGGAAGGGGAGCACGGAAUUCCUGGUGUAGCGGUGAAAUGCGCAGAUAUCAGGAGGAACACCGGUGGCGAAGGCGGUGCUCUGGGCCGGUACUGACGCUGAUGAGCGAAAGCUUGGGUAGCAAACAGG